RNAcentral lists this ribosomal RNA (278 nucleotides) under uncultured Pseudomonas sp. RNAcentral describes it as "partial 16S ribosomal RNA". It matches the Rfam family "Bacterial small subunit ribosomal RNA", at positions 1107 to 1382 of the family's 1533-position model. The record is from RNAcentral. Lineage: Bacteria; Pseudomonadati; Pseudomonadota; Gammaproteobacteria; Pseudomonadales; Pseudomonadaceae.
GUCCUUAGUUACCAGCACGUUAUGGUGGGCGACUCUAAGGAGACUGCCGGUGACAAACCGGAGGAAGGUGGGGGAUGACGUCAAGUCAUCAUGGCCCUUACGGCCUGGGCUACACACGUGCUACAAUGGUCGGUACAAAGGGUUGCCAAGCCGCGAGGUGGAGCUAAUCCCAUAAAACCGAUCGUAGUCCGGAUCGCAGUCUGCAACUCGACUGCGUGAAGUCGGAAUCGCUAGUAAUCGUGAAUCAGAAUGUCACGGUGAAUACGUUCCCGGGCCUU